AUGUUGUAUGAAUGGAUCUAUAUUCAAAGGGACUCGAACUGUACACCGAUCACAAACUCAGACAAAAAUUUUUCACAAAGGCACAAAGCACUGCGCAGAAGCUGCACCAAUCCUUGCCGUCCCUGGCAGCAGAAUGGUAGAAGGUGGGAGAGACCAGGAAUCCUUCCAGGCUGUGCUGACUUUAGAAAUGAGGAUUGCACACGUUUGUCUCCUGAACCAAAAGGAGAUAAGCAGCAGAAUUUAUCAGGCGUGAAAGGGACAGCCUCCUGGUGGCCUGCCAAAAACCCAGAAUAAAGGCGAAGUUGUGCUUCAAAGCUCAGUCGCUUGCUGAGUCUGGCUAAAGUCAAGUAUUAAGAUCCACCAUUUUCUGAGCCAUGCUAGAAAAGAAGAAAAAAGUCAGGACGGUUGCUGCUUUCCAAGUCUCCGUUGGCACCAUCACAAAAUCUCAGUCGUAAGGUCACAUGAUUCUCUGCCAAAUGUAGAGUGCAUUCCCAUCAACCAUUCUGCUGAUACUGCAAAGGCAGCUAUUGUCUCGUUUAGACCCAAAGUUCAGCCCACUCUUCAUUGAAUUAGCUGAAAAACGCAUCACCUUUGGGGGCUGGGAGUCAUGGAAACGUCUACCUGGCAAGCUGCCCACUUUUUCUGCCCAUCAACCAGAGAUGGAAUUGUGCUGCCUAAUGCAAUGAUGACUUGGAAUGUGAAGAGUCGUCCAAAGUGAAUCUGAUUCUUGCAACGCCUGUUUCAGUUUGCACAGAAAACUCUGGCUUCUUGUAGUUAAGGGUGUGUGUGUGCUGGGGGGGAAUCCUUCAGACUAAAUGUAGCAAAUAAAGGUCUGAACAUGCCUACUCCGUAACUUUAU
Molecule: long non-coding RNA, 859 nt
Filed under: Sus scrofa (pig)
Lineage: Eukaryota; Metazoa; Chordata; Mammalia; Artiodactyla; Suidae
Description: lncRNA (ENSSSCG00040000459.1)
Source: RNAcentral